RNA transcript from Eublepharis macularius, 678 nucleotides. It is a transcript of the gene named ankyrin repeat domain 7, with no coding region annotated. The transcript has 2 exons. The record is from RefSeq and is a predicted model, not a curated record. NCBI's taxonomy places the organism in Eukaryota, Metazoa, Chordata, Lepidosauria, Squamata, Eublepharidae.
GCAACUUCGGAACGGUCGCCGCAGAGAUUUCCCUGCUUCUUUCCUGUGAUGAAAGAGAAGAAAUUCUUCAGGUUUGGGAAGAAGUGGAAGGAGCAGCCGUCCCCGUCUCGCCCGGGGGCUUCUCUCUCGCCCUCCUCCCCGCGUGUCGCCUCCGAGGAUGGCGGGUACCAGCUGCGGAUCAAGGAGCUCGGCAAGUUGCACCGGGCGGCGGCCGGCGGGGACCUGAAGAAGCUGCAGCAGCUGCUCAAGAAGCACGACCUGAACCAGCUGGAUGAAGCCAACAGGUGGGGAGGAAGGCUGGCGCAGCACGCAAGUGUCGUGUUCAGACGAGGUGUGUUGAUACAUGCCGAACUGAGGGAAGAAUGAAGGCUGGCCAACGUAUAGACGUUACUACUGCCCUGGUGGGUGUAGGACCAGCCUGGAUACACGAAGAUCGUGAGACUUCUGAAGUCUGCAGGUACAAGGAUGUUACCAAAAAUUCUUCAAGAUGACAUAACCUAUGAUAAAUUCAUAACUGCUGAUGGACGGAGCCAAAUGGGCAUUUCCAGCAUCUAUAUCCCGUUUCAUAAUGGCACUUUAUCAAAGAUUCACAAAAUUUUAUUUAUUUAUUUAUUACAUUUCUAACCCACACUUCUUGCAAGCAGGCUCAGGGUGAGGUACAGCAGUUAUAAAAUACAA